Molecule: long non-coding RNA, 1209 nt
Organism: Mytilus trossulus (common blue mussel)
Lineage: Eukaryota; Metazoa; Mollusca; Bivalvia; Mytilida; Mytilidae
Exons: 3
Source: RefSeq, a predicted model, not a curated record
CAGUAAAUUUGACUGCUUAUAUAGGGAAAUAGGGGUAUUAAUUUCUCAACAAAAACAGCCUACAAUAUAACAAUUGAUAUAUAUUCUAAAAGAUGACCAUGAAUACAGCAGGAAAUGAUAAUAACAUCUUUGGUAUCUGUUGAUAUGUAAAUGUUCUAAUGCAGUAAACUGUCAGGAAACAGCAGUUUAUUUUCGUCUUUUUGGUGUUUAGACAUACCAAAAGUGAUGCUCUUCAAUUUAAAAACCGAUAAAGGUUGUAACCAGCUGGUAAUGUUUUGACAGAGAAAUGAACUUCUGUUGUAUAUUUGUAUACAUAAUUGAACAUUUUGAUAAGAUUUAAGAAAAGUACAUAACUUUGUGGUGUUCGGGAAACUUAUUUCCCUCACCAGGAGAUUGUUGCAUACAUGUACGGGUGAUCACUUCCAGACAGAGGUAGUUACAAUAUCUGUACGGGAAUGAAGAUUAUUUAUAAGACUGAAAUUAUUGUAUUAUUUGCUGGAAAUGUGGAAUAUGAGGAAUUUAAAGCCAUUCAUAAAAGAUACAUCAGAUGACAGACUUACAUAUAGAGGAGCCUAUAAUUAGAGAAAUGGAUCAACUUGAUUUUGAAGUUAACCUACUGCAUUAAUAUGAAAAUUCAUAAGUGACUGAGCUUAAAGAAAAUCACACAUGAAACUGUAACCAGUUUGGGAGACUCAUACAACAGAACAUUUCAAUACCUAUUAAGAUUUUUAUGUAUAUGUUUGACUUUUGGUAAUAUUUUGGAAGUUACUUUAGUAAUUGAGAGACCUCAAUGUUGAAAAUGACAAUUUUGAUAGAGGACAAUUUUAAGAAUAUCAACUUAGUUGUUUAUGAAUCUUUAUCUUUUAAAAUAUUACUGGGUGUCUGAAAGAAUAUUUCAAAAUUUUCUGAAACUAUUUAGAUAUUUAUCAUGUUUCAUGUGUUUAUAUAGGCAAAUAUUUAUACAUGUCAUUUAUGUUAUGCAAGGGUUUAUAUGAAUUUCUAAAAAGAUGUAUAUAUAUUUGUUGAUAAAAUAAGUUCCAAAUUAUUACAGAGUAACAGAAAAUGGGAUCAAUUUAUAUUAAAACAAAUCUGUUAUAAGGGAAUGAAAAGUCAAAAAUUGUAUUUUUUAAAAUAAUUGUGUUAACAUUGUUGUGCUAUUUAGAAAUAUGUACACAAAAAAAAAACUUUAAUAUAAGUAUCAAUGUAGUA